CGGACGGGUGAGUAACACGUGGAUAACCUACCUAUAAGACUGGGAUAACUUCGGGAAACCGGAGCUAAUACCGGAUAAUAUAUUGAACCGCAUGGUUCAAUAGUGAAAGACGGUUUUGCUGUCACUUAUAGAUGGAUCCGCGCCGCAUUAGCUAGUUGGUAAGGUAACGGCUUACCAAGGCAACGAUGCGUAGCCGACCUGAGAGGGUGAUCGGCCACACUGGAACUGAGAUACGGCCCAG
This 241-nucleotide ribosomal RNA is filed under the name uncultured Staphylococcus sp. RNAcentral's name for it is "partial 16S ribosomal RNA". It matches the Rfam family "Bacterial small subunit ribosomal RNA", at positions 99 to 334 of the family's 1533-position model. Lineage: Bacteria; Bacillati; Bacillota; Bacilli; Caryophanales; Staphylococcaceae. The record is from RNAcentral.